Molecule: ribosomal RNA, 1393 nt
Filed under: Ovavesicula popilliae
Lineage: Eukaryota; Fungi; Microsporidia; Pleistophoridae
Description: SSU rRNA
Rfam family: Microsporidia small subunit ribosomal RNA
Source: RNAcentral
CUAGGUUGAUUCUGCCUGACGUAGAUGCUAGUCUCGGAGGUUAAGCCAUGCAAGCCGCGAAGAGCGGCGGACAGCUCAGUAAAGCAGCCAGAAUCGAAUCGGCGAACGACGGAUAUCCGCGGGAACCUGCGGGCAAGACGAGGAAGCAGCGGCACGAAUGAAGCAGGGCAGCAGGCAGAGCGAAAGCGGGGCCGAACGAACGGCUGCGCCAUCAGCUGGAAGGUAGGGUAGAGGCCUACCUUGGCGACAACGGGUGCGGGGAAUCAGGGUUUGGUUCCGGAGAAGGAGCAGGAAGGACAGCUCCUAGUUCCACGGAACGCAGCAGGCGCGAAACUUGCUCACUUCCUGGGGGGAGAAGCAGUUACGAGACGUGCCACGGGCAGACGCCACAGCAAAGGGGUGGGCGAGAAACUGGAGGGCAAGUCUGGUGCCAGCAGCCGCGGUAAUUCCAGCUCCAGGAGCAUCGGUGACGAUUGCUGCAGUUAAAAGGUCCGUAGUCGGGAGAGGGCGCCGACAGGAAAGCGCAGUGCUCAAGGCAGGGAGAGGCGAGUAUGGUCGGGAAGCCGGGAUGGCGCGCAGGGGCAGACGGGGGCAGGAGAAUUCCACAGGGAGAGGUGAAAUUCGCAGAUCUGUGGAGGGCUGACAGAGGCGAAGGCGCCUGCCAAGGAUGCUUUCGAUGAUCAAGGACUUAGGCCGGAGGAUCAAAGACGAUUAGAGACCGUUGUAGUUCCGGCAGUAAACGAUGCCAACAGUCAGUCGCGGAGACGCGGAGGACAGAGAGAAAUCGAGAGUACGUGGGCUCUGGGGAAAGUACAGCCGCAAGGCGGAAACUUAAAGGAAAUUGACGGAAGGACACCACCAGGAGUGGAGCAUGCGGCUUAAUUUGACUCAACGCGGGGCAACUUACCAGGGCCGCUGCCGGGAGGAGGGGACGCGGAAAAGGCGGGCCCGAUUCGGCAAAGAGUGGUGCAUGGCCGUCUGCAGCGCGUGAGAUGACUUGGUGGUUAACUCCAGGAACGUGCGGAACCCCGGCACCGCCUCCACGGAGGGGGUGGACAUGCUCGAGACGGGGCAGGAAGGAAGGGGCGAAGACAGGUCAGUGAUGCCCUCGGAUACCCUGGGCUGCACGCGUGCUACAAUGCGGGGGACAGCGCGGAGUGCCGAGAGGCGCAGGAGAAGACCGCGCGUGGUGGGGAUGCCCGGAUGGAAGAGCGGGCUGAACGAGGAAUUCCAAGUAAUCGCGGGUCACCAGCCAGCGAUGAAAGCGUCCCUGUCCUUUGUACACACCGCCCGUCGCUAUCUAAGAUGGGCACGGGGGCAAGCACCCGGGAGGAAGCAAACGGGCGCGAGUCUGCGGGCCUAGAUCGGAUAGAAGUCGUAACAUGGGCUGCAA